GUGAAUACAGGUGUGGGAGGCCAGCAGGACCUGACACGGCUUCCUGUCAUCCCACCCUCUCCCCCCUGCACUUUACUUUCCUACAAAAAUACACUUGGACUAUUUACUGCAAAACUCAGCAAGGGAGGCUCUAAUCUGAGAGAUUUACUGGUGCCAGUGUGAGAUUUUCCACUGGGUUUCCACAGGGUUCAGAUCCAGUCCUGAGGUUGUUAUUCACCUAUCCAUCUUGUUUGCUGUAAACUUAAGCAUGUACUUACAGGAUGAAAAUAGGUGUUUCAAUUCUGUGCCUAAACAAAGAAGCAUUUAAAUGAGUACUUAAAUGAUUUGUGGAACUAAGGCUUGGAAACCCCCAAUUUCUCCUCUCCUCAGCAUAAAGAAAGAAUUGACAAAUCACAUGAGAAGCUAGUCAUGAGGACUACCUGGAAGGAAAUUCAGGGAGGACAAAAGAAAAAAAAAAAAAAAAAAAAAAAAAAAUUAAAAAAAAUAAUAAAAAAAGAGAAACAAAUCCAAAAAUCCAAACCUCUUUUCCAGUACUUCAUUCCUACAGAAAAUAUCUACAGCUUCCAGAAGAAUUUAAUCUAUUUUCCAGCAUCCACCAGAAUAACAGUCCUUCUCAAAACACCAGCACAGAUGCAACAUCAGAUGCGAUGUUCUGACAGCGCAGGAAACAACCUUUGCAGUCCAGCAGGAAAAAGGAGUAACAUCUGCAAUGAAAAUGGCAUCCACGAUGAAAUCACAGCCCUGUAUACCAACCUUUGUAUAGAAAAAGGUAAAUUCCGGUGUUUAACUGCAAAACCAACAACUUCAUGGUUGACAUGGAAUCUCUUCUCAGCAACUUUGUGCAUUCCCUUACAAAUAAAUCAGCACAGAACAUUAUUCAACACAUUUAACUAGCAGAGAGAAAACCCCUCCAAAGAAAUUGUAGGUGCUCUCCAACAGAAAACAAUGCCUACUGGGGUGCCAUCUCCAGUAACACGAGCAAAAAAAUACACCUAAAACGUGGACCUGAGGUAAAUGUAG
RNAcentral lists this long non-coding RNA (1020 nucleotides) under Cyanistes caeruleus (blue tit). Its description in RNAcentral is "lncRNA (ENSCCEG00000015436.1)". Lineage: Eukaryota; Metazoa; Chordata; Aves; Passeriformes; Paridae. The record is from RNAcentral.